This 520-nucleotide ribosomal RNA is filed under the name uncultured bacterium. Its description in RNAcentral is "bacterial SSU rRNA". It matches the Rfam family "Bacterial small subunit ribosomal RNA", at positions 28 to 525 of the family's 1533-position model. The record is from RNAcentral.
GACGAACGCUGGCGGCAUGCCUAACACAUGCAAGUCGAACGGAGAAAUUACUUCAGUAAUUUCUUAGUGGCGAACGGGUGAGUAACGCGUAGGCAACCUGCCUUUUCGAUGGGGACAACAUUCCGAAAGGAGUGCUAAUACCGAAUGUGCAGCUUUAACCGCCUGGUUGAAGUUGGACAGAUGGCCUCUACAUGUAAGCUAUCGCUAAAAUAUGGGCCUGCGUCUGAUUAGCUAGUGGGUAGUGUAAUGGACUACCAAGGCGAUGAUCAGUAGCCGGUCUGAGAGGAUGAACGGCCACAUUGGGACUGAGACACGGCCCAAACUCCUACGGGAGGCAGCAGUGGGGAAUCUUCCGCAAUGGACGAAAGUCUGACGGAGCAAUGCCGCGUGAGUGAUGAAGGAUUUCGGUCUGUAAAACUCUGUUGUUUAUGACGAAUGUGCAGUGUGUGAAUAAUGCAUUGUAAUGACGGUAGUAAACGAGGAAGCCACGGCUAACUACGUGCCAGCCGCCGCCGUAACA